Molecule: ribosomal RNA, 254 nt
Filed under: uncultured bacterium
Lineage: Bacteria
Description: partial 16S ribosomal RNA
Rfam family: Bacterial small subunit ribosomal RNA
Source: RNAcentral
UACGGAGGGUGCGAGCGUUGUCCGGAAUCAUUGGGCGUAAAGGGCUCGUAGGCGGCCUACUAAGUCAGACGUGAAAUCCCUCGGCUUAACCGGGGAACUGCGUCUGAUACUGGAUGGCUUGAGUUUGGGAGAGGGAUGCGGAAUUCCAGGUGUAGCGGUGAAAUGCGUAGAUAUCUGGAGGAACACCGGUGGCGAAGGCGGCAUCCUGGACCAACACUGACGCUGAGUGAGCGAAAGCCAGGGGAGCAAACGGG